Molecule: unclassified non-coding RNA, 343 nt
Filed under: soil metagenome
Description: partial contains 5.8S ribosomal RNA, internal transcribed spacer 2, and large subunit ribosomal RNA
Rfam family: 5.8S ribosomal RNA (bases 1-120)
Source: RNAcentral
GAUGAAGAACGUAGCGAAAUGCGAUAAGUAAUGUGAAUUGCAGAAUUCAGUGAAUCAUCGAAUCUUUGAACGCACAUUGCGCCCGCCAGCAUUCUGGCGGGCAUGCCUGUUCGAGCGUCAUUUCAACCCUCGAGCCCCCCCGGGGGCCUCGGUGUUGGUGGACGGCACACCAGCCGCCCCCGAAAUGCAGUGGCGACCCCGCCGCAGCCUCCCCUGCGUAGUAGCACACACCUCGCACCGGAGCGCGGAGGCGGUCACGCCGUAAAACGCCCAACUUUCUUAGAGUUGACCUCGGAUCAGGUAGGAAUACCCGCUGAACUUAAGCAUAUCAAUAAGCGGAGGA